UCCUGCGCGUGGCAGCUUGGGUUAGCGAUGAUGAGUGGCUAGACGGAUCGAGGCGGGAUGGAGGUAGCAGCUGAUGUGAUAGGGAGAUACAGAGGAGCGGCGUCCAUCCAAUCCUCCUGAUGCGAGGUGCACGCUUGGACCGGAGGUGCCGGGUCGAGGCAUGGAAGUCGAUGCGCGCGGUGGGACUGACCGGAGGAGCGAGAUCUGGGUCGCCGCCAUUCUCUGCGGCCGCUACCCCUCGCGGCACCGUCCUUGGAGCGCACGCACCACUGCCUCAGCUUGUCUUCCUUGCUCCACCAAUUUAUAACUCGUUGAAGACUCUCCGCCGCCGUUGUCUACAGUCUGACACGAUCCACUGCUCGGGCCGACAGCCAUGGAGGAGUACAUGGCGAGCAUGAAGGCAUUGAGCUGCAGGCAAAACAUGUGAGAAACGAGUCCGGGCAGCAUGCCAAAGGUGAGGGCGCACAUCAUCUGUGCCGCAAGGCCCAAUAUCUUCUCUAGUCCAAUUCACCCAACAAACAUUAAACCAAUGCGUGGCAUUUAUAAUUUAUCCCCUCCCUCUAUUUCUUGAUGUGGGUAGAGCUUUCCAAUGGGUUCGUUUUCUUGUAUAUAAACCAGAUUCACAUAGCUUGGAUAUGCAGCUGCUUGCAUAUACAACAAGGAAUAUUAUCAGGGAAGCUUUUGUGGCCAAAGCAUAUGAUUCUAUUUAGGUGGUUCGAGCACCACUGAGUGUGAUUACUUCUCAACUUCCUAUGCCCAUGUAAUGUGACUUAAGCAUCUACAACUAAUUUAUUUGUUUUCAUUAUUAUAUAUUUGAUUACAUGUCUAUUGGGCAUUUGGCUUUUUGAUUGCUUGUAGAACCAAUUGAGACAUCGAUGGAAAAUUUCAAGGAUUAUAUUAAGGAAGAUUGAAGUGAAAAGAAUUGAUGCAUGUCUCUUGGCCAUGAAGAGAAAUAUUAUGAGUCCUAGACUGGAGGAGCCAAAGUCUCCGAGGCAACCGUGAUAGAAGUUGAUCUCGAGGUGAUGCUUGCUAUGAAGGUUAGUUUGGCUCUUUCUUUGACUUUAUCUUGGAAAUUGCAAAAAUAUUGUGGUCAUUUUUUUUCUGACUUCGACCAAUUUGAAAGCAACACAUAAGUUAUAGUCUCGCCUAUAUUGUUAUGCUAACAUGGCUACAUGCAGCCAUGACCUCUUUUGGUGUCAUACAUAUUUGCACAAACCUCCUAUCGCAGUACUAAACUUUAAGGCCUCAGAGCGUAUACAUGACCUUUGGUUUUGGUGACUUAUCUUACAGCUAUAAUAGACAAAUUUCUAUAUGUUUUGCUGUAUGAUCAUCCCAAGAAGAAGUAACGAUUUUGAGUGCUAAUCCAGAAGCUUAAUUUUGUUAGUAUCCUUAAAUUCCAAACCCAUAUUCUAUUGAACUUCCAUGUUUCAUGCUGCACAUAUUUAUAGAAAUUCCUAUGAUCCAACCGGAAAAGUAGUUGGGCAUGGCAAUGUUGUGGUGUUUCUCUCAUCUGCUAUUUGCCCUGCAAGGUUACUAUGUUUGUCUCAAAUAAGCAAGCAAAUUUAUAAUCUUUAUUUUAGCUUAUAAGAUUUUCUCAUGCCAGUUUUCUAUUGAUUCAUACAAUGGUUGAUUCAGACCUCAUCUGAUACAAGAGAGCUAAUGCCAAGGAAAGUUAAUAAACCAACUAACAACAUAAACAUUUGCGUACAACCCUCGGUAUAAAUGUGAAUUAUGAUUUCUGUCAACUAACAAAUGGUUCAAGAUAAAGAGAUCAGGUUUUAUGGUUUGAAAUAUACAAAAAUAUUGAUUACAAAUUUGCAAUUGAAUAAUCAUGUUUGUUAUUACUUCUAUGUGGAGAUUAGUCUGAUAUCAUUGAUCAGAGGUACAGACAUACACGAUUCUUGUUGUAAAGCAGUGUACGAUGAAGACUUAGAUUCGACAAUUAUGUGAUCUGUCAUGUACUGUGCUAUGCAAAACGCAUAGCUUUGGACCCAACUUCUUUGGUUGAAUUAAUCCUCACAAUGGCGUUUCCACUUUAAUUUAUAAUUCUUGUGUUUCCUGCAUAUUCAUGUUUUAGGUUACUGCUUAAUGAAGGAUAGUUGUUGCUCCUAUGUUCAUAACCCAGUGGUGGCUAUAAAUCAAAGUGAGCUACAGACGGACACACGCAAUUGUAAGAAAGUAAAAUAGUACUGCCAGUCAAUAGAGUGCCUGCUUAGUAUCUUUCUGCCAUGGUUUACUACUUACUACCGAUUGGAGAAUCUCUUAUUUCAAAUUGCAAAGGAAACAUGCAUUAAAUAAUUUAUUUCAGUAUAUUUUAUCUUUCUCUAUAAUUUAUCAUGGGCGUCGGUGUCUCUCACGGAGUGAGGUGCCACUGAAGAACAACCAGACCGGAUUGGUGGUCGACGACAGAGGCAUAGCCUAAUGAUAUGCCUAGGUGUAAUCCCUUCUAGAAUUUUAUUACAUGCCAUAAUGCAUUGAUUUCUUUAUAUAAUAAAUGUUGUCAAAAAAUCUGAAAUAUUUGAACCGCCUAUAUUUAUUUUUGUUUUCUCAAAUAUUCCUAAUA
Long non-coding RNA from Triticum aestivum (bread wheat), 2563 nucleotides. RefSeq lists it as uncharacterized. NCBI's taxonomy places the organism in Eukaryota, Viridiplantae, Streptophyta, Magnoliopsida, Poales, Poaceae. The record is from RefSeq and is a predicted model, not a curated record. The transcript has 3 exons.